AUGCUCUAGGGCAUACUACUAAUAUGUGAUUAUGUGAAUAUGCAGAGCACCACCAUAAUUUUGUUUCCCACUUAGUAUUAUAAAAUAGUUCAUUGUCUUUUGGACUAAUCUUCAAACUAUGGUUUACAUCAAUGUACAGCAAAGAUUUUUUGUGCUUAACAAGAAAAAUUGUUUCAGGGCAACCUUUGUUGGACUAGCAUAUGGCUAUGGUACCAUUCUCUCCUCAAGCAUCAUUGUACCAAUGGCUUCUCAUGCAUUGAACAAUCUGGUUGGAGGGAUCUUGUGGCGCAGCACAUCGAAGUUGUCAAAGUCAUUAGAGUAGAUACCUGAUUCAGUGAAAAAUAGGUGAAGAACGAUUCUCAAAAUGAUGUAAGAUGAAAAAUUGCCCAAACUAAUGAAAUAUGCAAGCUCUCCUCAUUUGCAAAAACGCAUAGGAAGUCUAGAGUAUCUCUUAAUAAUCUUUGCAUUUCCAAGAGAAGAGUUGAUAUGAAAACUCAAGCAGCUCUAUGCAAUAAUAUUUUAUUGUUAAUUGUUAAUCUAACUAUUUGAUACCAUGUUUAGAGGUAUGAAGAAAUAUUUUUGUGCAUCAAAA
This 592-nucleotide unclassified non-coding RNA is filed under the name Hevea brasiliensis (rubber tree). Lineage: Eukaryota; Viridiplantae; Streptophyta; Magnoliopsida; Malpighiales; Euphorbiaceae. The record is from RNAcentral.